This 258-nucleotide ribosomal RNA is filed under the name uncultured bacterium. RNAcentral describes it as "partial 16S ribosomal RNA". It matches the Rfam family "Bacterial small subunit ribosomal RNA", at positions 15 to 263 of the family's 1533-position model. The record is from RNAcentral.
GAUCAUGGCUCAGGAUGAACGCUAGCUACAGGCUUAACACAUGCAAGUCGAGGGGCAUCAGGAAGAAAGCUUGCUUUCUUUGCUGGCGACCGGCGCACGGGUGAGUAACACGUAUCCAACCUACCCUUUACUCGGGGAUAGCCUUUCGAAAGAAAGAUUAAUACCCGAUGGCAUAAUGAUUCCGCAUGGUUUCAUUAUUAAAGGAUUCCGGUUAAAGGAUGGGGAUGCGUUCCAUUAGGUUGUUGGGUGAGGUAACGG